GAUGAACGCUGGCGGCGUGCCUAAUACAUGCAAGUCGAGCGAAUGGAUUGAGAGCUCGCUCUUAUGAAGUUAGCGGCGGACGGGUGAGUAACACGUGGGUAACCUGCCCAUAAGACUGGGAUAACUCCGGGAAACCGGGGCUAAUACCGGAUAACAUUUUGAACCGCAUGGUUCGAAAUUGAAAGGCGGCUUCGGCUGUCACUUAUGGAUGGACCCGCGUCGCAUUAGCUAGUUGGUGAGGUAACGGCUCACCAAGGCAACGAUGCGUAGCCGACCUGAGAGGGUGAUCGGCCACACUGGGACUGAGACACGGCCCAGACUCCUACGGGAGGCAGCAGUAGGGAAUCUUCCGCAAUGGACGAAAGUCUGACGGAGCAACGCCGCGUGAGUGAUGAAGGCUUUCGGGUCGUAAAACUCUGUUGUUAGGGAAGAACAAGUGCUAGUUGAAUAAGUUGGCACCUUGACGGUACCUAACCAGAAAGCCACGGCUAACUACGUGCCAGCCGCCGCAGUAA
This 515-nucleotide ribosomal RNA is filed under the name uncultured bacterium. RNAcentral describes it as "partial 16S ribosomal RNA". It matches the Rfam family "Bacterial small subunit ribosomal RNA", at positions 28 to 523 of the family's 1533-position model. The record is from RNAcentral.